RNAcentral lists this ribosomal RNA (253 nucleotides) under uncultured bacterium. RNAcentral's name for it is "partial 16S ribosomal RNA". It matches the Rfam family "Bacterial small subunit ribosomal RNA", at positions 524 to 776 of the family's 1533-position model. The record is from RNAcentral.
GACGUAGGGCGCGAGCGUUGUCCGGAAUUAUUGGGCGUAAAGAGCUCGUAGGCGGCUUGUUGCGUCGGCUGUGAAAACCCGCGGCUCAACCGUGGGCUUGCAGCUGAUACGGGCAGGCUAGAAUUCGGUAGGGGAGACUGGAAUUCCAGGUGUAGCGGUGAAAUGCGUAGAUAUCUGGAGGAACACCGGUGGCGAAGGCGGCAUCCUGGACCGGCAUUGACGCUGAGGCGCGAAAGCCAGGGGAGCAAACGGG